GAUGAACGCUAGCGGCAGGCUUAACACAUGCAAGUCGAGGGGCAGCGCGGGAUAGCAAUAUCCUGGCGGCGACCGGCGGAAGGGUGCGUAACGCGUGAGCGACAUGCCCGUUGCCCGGGGACAACCGGUGGAAACGCCGACUAAUCCCCGAUGGGAUAUUGUGCCGCAUGGCACGAUAUUGAAAGUUACGGCGGCGACGGAUUGGCUCGCGUCCGAUUAGCUGGUUGGCGGGGUAACGGCCCACCAAGGCUGCGAUCGGUAGGGGUUCUGAGAGGAAGGCCCCCCUCGAUGGGACUGAGCCACGGCCCAUCCUCCUACGGGAGGCAGCAGUGAGGAAUAGUGGUCAAUGGGCGGAAGCCUGAACCAGCCAUGCCGCGUGCGGGAAGGAGGCCCUUUGGGCUGUGAACCGCUUUUGCCUGGGGGCAAUAAGGGCGUCGCGCACGUCCGAUGAGAGUACCAGGCGAAUAAGCAUCGGCUAACUCCGUG
This 486-nucleotide ribosomal RNA is filed under the name uncultured bacterium. RNAcentral describes it as "partial 16S ribosomal RNA". It matches the Rfam family "Bacterial small subunit ribosomal RNA", at positions 28 to 507 of the family's 1533-position model. The record is from RNAcentral.